Otolemur garnettii (small-eared galago) is the source of this 101-nucleotide unclassified non-coding RNA. It matches the Rfam family "Y RNA". Rfam says of the family: Y RNAs are components of the Ro ribonucleoprotein particle (Ro RNP), in association with Ro60 and La proteins. The record is from Ensembl. NCBI's taxonomy places the organism in Eukaryota, Metazoa, Chordata, Mammalia, Primates, Galagidae.
GGCGAUCUGAAUGCCAUGGUGUUUACAACUAAUUCAUCACAACCAGUUACAGAUUCCUUUGUUUCUUGUCCGCUCCCACUGCUUCACUCGACUAGCCUUAA